RNAcentral lists this ribosomal RNA (266 nucleotides) under uncultured bacterium. RNAcentral's name for it is "partial 16S ribosomal RNA". It matches the Rfam family "Bacterial small subunit ribosomal RNA", at positions 793 to 1055 of the family's 1533-position model. The record is from RNAcentral.
GUCCACGCUGUAAACGAUGUGUGUUUGUCGCUGGGGAGUUUACUCUUCGGUGACGGAGCUAACGCGUUAAGCACACCGCCUGGGAAGUACGGUCGCAAGAUUAAAACUCAAAGGAAUUGACGGGGACCCGCACAAGCGGUGGAGUAUGUGGUUUAAUUCGUCGCAACGCGAAGAACCUUACCAGGCCUUGACAUGCCCUCUAUGGAAUCCAGAGACGGAUUUCUUCACUUCGGGUGGGAGGGACACAGGUGCUGCAUGGCUGUCGU